UGCAAAUUCAGCGCCAUUCGUGUAUUUUCAUCGUCGGUGAAAGCAAAGAUGGGAGGAUCAGGACGGUUGCGCGAUAAUAAUGAUGCCAUGUGUCCAUGCUUCGUGUAAACAAAGAUGGCAUCUACACCGAGAUUGUUGGCUGCAGAGGGGUUGCAAGAAAUAAUGUGAAGAAGUACCCAUUUCAACCGCGCAAUUGCAUAUUUGCUCCGUGAUGCAUUCGGGCAAUGAUGCUCCGAGUUUAUGGUGAUUGAGAAGACUUUGUCUGUUUUCUUUUCUACUCCAUGAUUCCAUUCUACUGCUAGUCAUAUCCAACACUGCCAAAGCUUUCUGUCCAAAUGAACCGAUAGCCGAUUCGCCAGAUAACAUCAAAGCAUCGGCAUACUGUCGAACCGCUUCAGAAAUAUCCGCUACCUUAUAUUGCGUAAAAGCAAAGAUUAUUGUAACAGGUGAUUACCGAGUUCAGCAUUUCAAAUAUAUAAAUUGAUUUUACCUCGGCGCGAGUUGGUGUUGGAUACUCAACCAUUGACUCAAGAAGCUGAGAAGCUACAAUCACUGGCUUAUUUUGUUGUCUGCAAAUACGAAUUAUACCCUCCUGGACUGUAGGAAUCUGUUCAAGUGGUAUUUCGACUCCGAGGUCGCCACGAGCAACCAUGAUUCCAUCAGAAGCUUUCACUAUUUCCUCUAGAUUAUGAAGAGAUUCUAAGCUUUCUAUCUUUGCCAAUACUUUUAUGGGCCUGAAACAAUCAUUUACCAUUAAUAACUUGUGCUAAGAUAACUUUGAAUUAAAGCACUUAUACA
Molecule: long non-coding RNA, 798 nt
Organism: Lathyrus oleraceus (garden pea)
Lineage: Eukaryota; Viridiplantae; Streptophyta; Magnoliopsida; Fabales; Fabaceae
Exons: 2
Source: RefSeq, a predicted model, not a curated record